This 252-nucleotide ribosomal RNA is filed under the name uncultured bacterium. Its description in RNAcentral is "partial 16S ribosomal RNA". It matches the Rfam family "Bacterial small subunit ribosomal RNA", at positions 524 to 776 of the family's 1533-position model. The record is from RNAcentral.
UACGUAGGGGGCAAGCGUUAUCCGGAAUUACUGGGUGUAAAGGGAGCGUAGGCGGACUGUCAAGUCAGCGGUAAAAUUGAGAGGCUCAACCUCUUCCCGCCGUUGAAACUGGUGGUCUUGAGUGGAUGAGAAGUACGCGGAAUGCGUGGUGUAGCGGUGAAAUGCAUAGAUAUCACGCAGAACUCCGAUUGCGAAGGCAGCGUACCGGCAUCCAACUGACGCUGAGGCACGAAAGCGUGGGGAUCAAACAGG